GUAGUCCACGCAGUAAACGAUGAUUACUAGCUGUUUGCGAUAUACAGUAAGCGGCUGAGCGAAAGCGUUAAGUAAUCCACCUGGGGAGUACGUUCGCAAGAAUGAAACUCAAAGGAAUUGACGGGGGCCCGCACAAGCGGAGGAACAUGUGGUUUAAUUCGAUGAUACGCGAGGAACCUUACCCGGGCUUGAAAUGCAUCUGACAGGAGCAGAGACGCUCUCUCCCUUCGGGGCAGAUGUGUAGGUGCUGCAUGGUUGUCGUCAGCUCGUGCCGUGAGGUGUCGGCUUAAGUGCCAUAACGAGCGCAACCCUCAUCAUUAGUUACCAUCAGGUCAAGCUGGGGACUCUAAUGAGACUGCCAUCGUAAGAUGCGAGGAAGGUGGGGAUGACGUCAAAUCAGCACGGCCCUUACGUCCGGGGCGACACACGUGUUACAAUGGGUGGUACAAAGGGCAGCUACAUGGCGACAUGAUGCUAAUCUCCAAAACCACUCUCAGUUCGGAUCGGAGUCUGCAACUCGACUCCGUGAAGCUGGAUUCGCUAGUAAUCGCGCAUCAGCCACGGCGCGGUGAAUACGUUCCCGGGCCUUGUACACACCGCCCGUCAAGCCAUGGAAGCCGGGGGUACCUGAAGUUCGUAACCGUCAAGGAGCGACCUAGGGUAAAACUGGUAACUAGGGCUAAGUCGUAACAAGGUAACC
RNAcentral lists this ribosomal RNA (700 nucleotides) under uncultured bacterium. RNAcentral's name for it is "bacterial SSU rRNA". It matches the Rfam family "Bacterial small subunit ribosomal RNA", at positions 790 to 1501 of the family's 1533-position model. The record is from RNAcentral.